GAUGAACGCUGGCGGCGUGCCUAAUACAUGCAAGUCGAGCGAACGGACGAGAAGCUUGCUUCUCUGAUGUUAGCGGCGGACGGGUGAGUAACACGUGGAUAACCUACCUAUAAGACUGGGAUAACUUCGGGAAACCGGAGCUAAUACCGGAUAAUAUUUUGAACCGCAUGGUUCAAAAGUGAAAGACGGUCUUGCUGUCACUUAUAGAUGGAUCCGCGCUGCAUUAGCUAGUUGGUAAGGUAACGGCUUACCAAGGCAACGAUGCAUAGCCGACCUGAGAGGAUGAUCGGCCACACUGGAACUGAGACACGGUCCAGACUCCUACGGGAGGCAGCAGUGGGGAAUCUUCCGCAAUGGGCGAAAGCCUGACGGAGCAACGCCGCGUGAGUGAUGAAGGUCUUCGGAUCGUAAAACUCUGUUAUUAGGGAAGAACAUAUGUGUAAGUAACUGUGCACAUCUUGACGGUACCUAAUCAGAAAGCAACGGCUAACUACGUG
Molecule: ribosomal RNA, 497 nt
Filed under: uncultured bacterium
Lineage: Bacteria
Description: partial 16S ribosomal RNA
Rfam family: Bacterial small subunit ribosomal RNA
Source: RNAcentral